GUGCUCACUUCGGCAGCACAUUCACUGAAACUGAAACGAUACAGAGAUUAGCUAGGCCCCUAUGCAAGGAUGACAUACAAAUUCAUGAAGUGUUCCAUAUUUUU
This 104-nucleotide small nuclear RNA is filed under the name Castor canadensis (American beaver). The record is from RNAcentral. Lineage: Eukaryota; Metazoa; Chordata; Mammalia; Rodentia; Castoridae.